Molecule: long non-coding RNA, 558 nt
Organism: Odocoileus virginianus texanus
Lineage: Eukaryota; Metazoa; Chordata; Mammalia; Artiodactyla; Cervidae
Source: RefSeq, a predicted model, not a curated record
GGCCGCCAUGUUUUCAUCCAACAUCAGGACACCAAAGAACAUGGACAGCCACUUAACAUUUCUGUUUGGAAGAUACCAAGAAACUGGGGAGAGUUAGUCCUGAUAAGGUCCCAGAGAUGAGGUCUGGGGAAGAAGCACUGCUAUCUUGAGAGGAAGACACCGAAGACAACAGAGAAAGGGGGAAAAAUACAGAGUGACCUUGGGCUCCUCCCCUAGACUCACGCUUCUGGGUUCCAGCUGGAUUCUCAAGAUAAAAAUAACAUGGGAGAAUGUCAGUCAGUUCUCACCCAUUCACCAGGAGUCAGCCAGAAAUGAACCUGCCAGGAGGCAAAAACCCAGACAAAAGCUGCAGAUCCAAACUUCCGGCCUCUCCCAAGUGUUUUGCAUUAACUGUUCCACAGUACAAAUACAAUCAACUUGGUAUGUUUGUUUCAUUUUGUUUUUUUCAAAAAUGUUUUAAAAUAAUCAGCCAUGCUAAACACAUUGUUGUUUUUCUAAAGGUCACUUUAUAAAAAUGACGAUAGAACCAUGGAAAUAAAACUCAACUGUUUAGGAAAA